UACGGAGGGAGCUAGCGUUGUUCGGAAUUACUGGGCGUAAAGCGCACGUAGGCGGCGAUUCAAGUCAGGGGUGAAAUCCCGGGGCUCAACCCCGGAACUGCCUCUGAAACUAGAUUGCUAGAAUCUUGGAGAGGCGAGUGGAAUUCCGAGUGUAGAGGUGAAAUUCGUAGAUAUUCGGAAGAACACCAGUGGCGAAGGCGACUCGCUGGACAGGUAUUGACGCUGAGGUGCGAAAGCGUGGGGAGCAAACAGG
Molecule: ribosomal RNA, 253 nt
Filed under: uncultured bacterium
Lineage: Bacteria
Description: partial 16S ribosomal RNA
Rfam family: Bacterial small subunit ribosomal RNA
Source: RNAcentral